Molecule: ribosomal RNA, 243 nt
Filed under: uncultured Actinomycetales bacterium
Lineage: Bacteria; Bacillati; Actinomycetota; Actinomycetes; Actinomycetales
Description: partial 16S ribosomal RNA
Rfam family: Bacterial small subunit ribosomal RNA
Source: RNAcentral
UACUCGAGUGGCGAACGGGUGAGUAACACGUGGGUGAUCUGCCCUGCACUUCGGGAUAAGCUUGGGAAACUGGGUCUAAUACCGGAUAGGAACCAUCUUUAGUGUGGUGGUUGGAAAGUUUUUUCGGUGUAGGAUGAGCUCGCGGCCUAUCAGCUUGUUGGUGGGGUAAUGGCCUACCAAGGCGGCGACGGGUAGCCGGCCUGAGAGGGUGACCGGCCACAUUGGGACUGAGAUACGGCCCAG